UACUACCCUGACUGCACGUGAUCUUGUCUGAUCUCACUAGCUAAGCAUGGUUGGGCCUAGUUAGCACUUAAAUGGCAGAAGGACUUAGCA
Molecule: ribosomal RNA, 90 nt
Filed under: Propithecus coquereli (Coquerel's sifaka)
Lineage: Eukaryota; Metazoa; Chordata; Mammalia; Primates; Indriidae
Source: RNAcentral